Ostrinia nubilalis (European corn borer) is the source of this 637-nucleotide long non-coding RNA. RefSeq lists it as uncharacterized. Lineage: Eukaryota; Metazoa; Arthropoda; Insecta; Lepidoptera; Crambidae. The record is from RefSeq and is a predicted model, not a curated record. The transcript is spliced from 2 exons.
GGUUCGUUACACGAAGAGUAACAAAAUAAAGUAAAAGUUAACAAAAAAAUAAAAUUUUAAUUAUAACUAAAAACUAAUUAAAAAUAUACUUACUUACUAAAACCUUAAUGACAAAAAUAAAAUAAAUAUAAACAAAAACUUAUACGUAAACUCGGGCGCAAAUGACGUUUUAAAUAUCUGUGAGCGCGAACGAUGAGUGAACGAAGUGGAAACAGGUUCGCCCCGGUUUAGAAUAAACCGUCGAAACAUCGCGGCGGAGUCCGAGCGAAGUUAUCAUAACGCAAGGACGUACGGCUUUUGUACUAAAACUGCCAAGUCACGACGAGCUACGAGUCGUUAAAUUCACUUUUUAACAAUUUCUACAAAUCUAAGUUGUGUUGUGUUACCCCAAUAUCGGGGUCCCCGUUCCGGGUUUCAAACACUUCUCUCCGUGGAAGUUUGGGGCAAGAUUGCUGCCUUGGACAAUCAAGCCUGGUGGACCUGGGCUGCCACCGAGAACAGUUUUACGCCUACCGGAAAUCGGAAGAUCAGUACCGUGGCCUUGAUUAUUUCUGGGACUUUGUGUCGCUCGGUUGCCAAUUAUUGACCCACUACCUGAACCUUCGUAAAUUAGAUUUAAUAAACCUUUUGUUGUACA